Molecule: ribosomal RNA, 459 nt
Filed under: uncultured bacterium
Lineage: Bacteria
Description: partial 16S ribosomal RNA
Rfam family: Bacterial small subunit ribosomal RNA
Source: RNAcentral
CCUACGGGAGGCAGCAGUGAGGAAUAUUGGUCAAUGGUCGGGAGACUGAACCAGCCAAGCCGCGUGAGGGAUGAAGGUACAGAGUAUCGUAAACCUCUUUUGUCAGGGAACAAAGGCGGGGACGUGUCCCCGGCUGAGUGUACCUGAAGAAAAAGCAUCGGCUAACUCCGUGCCAGCAGCCGCGGUAAGACGGAGGAUGCGAGGGUUAUCCGGAUUUAUUGGGUUUAAAGGGUGCGCAGGCGGUCUGUUAAGUCAGCGGUAAAAGGCCGGGGCUAAACCGCGGCCCGCCGUUGAAACUGGCAGUCUCGAGUUGGAGAGAGGUAGGCGGAAUGCGCGGUGUAGCGGUGAAAUGCAUAGAUAUCGCGCAGAACUCCGAUUGCGAAGGCAGCAUGCCGGCUCCACACUGACGCUGAGGCACGAAAGCGUGGGUAUCGAACAGGAUUAGAUACCCUGGUAGUC